AAAAAAUCGUGUCUACGUGCAAUUUAUGUAUAGUUGACCGGGAAAUUAAAGCAGCGAUCACUUGGACUAUUCCGCAGCACCCCUCUCACAUUGGUACACCCCCCCCCCCUCCCCCGGUAUUCAUUGUCUUCUACAGUAGAGCGGGACAUUUAAUUUACUCUCAGCGGAAUUGACCGGAGAAGGCAUCAGUUCAUGCACUGCACUGGCCUGCACCAUGAUUAGUAUAAGGCACAUUUCACGAAGCAGAACGCAGUCUUCAGAGAUAUCCACGUGAACGCUGUGAUACGUCUGACCUUCAGUCCGAAGAAGAAACCCAGACCAGUCUUAAAAGAAAGCACAAACCAAAUCCCCUGUACACAUAUACGGACUCAGAGGAUGAGCAGCCUACAAAAAAACGGUUUCCCCAGGCCCCUCGAGUGAAAA
Molecule: long non-coding RNA, 423 nt
Organism: Pelmatolapia mariae (spotted tilapia)
Lineage: Eukaryota; Metazoa; Chordata; Actinopteri; Cichliformes; Cichlidae
Exons: 3
Source: RefSeq, a predicted model, not a curated record